GUUAGGAAUAUUGGACAAUGGGCGAAAGCCUGAUCCAGCCAUGCCGCGUGAACGAUGAAGGCCUUCGGGUUGUAAAGUUCUUUAGCCGAUGAUUAUAAUGACUGUAGUCGGAAAAUAAGCCCCGGCUAACUUCGUGCCAGCAGCCGCGGUAAUACGAAGGGGGCGAGCGUUAUUCGGAAUCACUGGGCGUAAAGCGUGCGUAGGCGGUCUCGUAAGUUAGGAGUGAAAGCCCAGGGCUCAACCUUGGAAUUGCUCUUAAUACUGCAAGGCUAGAAUCUCGGAGAGGAUAGCGGAAUUUCCAGUGUAGCAGUGAAAUGCGUAGAUAUUGGAAGGAACACCAGUGGCGUAAGCGGCUAUCUGGACGAGUAUUGACGCUGAGGCACGAAAGCGUGGGGAUCAAACAGGAUUAGAAACCCGAGUAGUCC
Molecule: ribosomal RNA, 425 nt
Filed under: uncultured bacterium
Lineage: Bacteria
Description: partial 16S ribosomal RNA
Rfam family: Bacterial small subunit ribosomal RNA
Source: RNAcentral